Molecule: ribosomal RNA, 634 nt
Filed under: uncultured bacterium
Lineage: Bacteria
Description: bacterial SSU rRNA
Rfam family: Bacterial small subunit ribosomal RNA
Source: RNAcentral
GGAGCGACACCGCGUGAAGGAUGAAGGUCUUCGGAUUGUAAACUUCUUUAGACCUAGAUGAAGGCAACCGGGUGAAUAAUCCGGUUGUUUGACAGUAUAGGUAGAAUAAGCCACGGCUAACUCUGUGCCAGCAGCCGCGGUAAUACAGAGGUGGCAAACGUUGUCCGGAUUUAUUGGGUGUAAAGGGCAUGUAGGCGGCUUCGUAAGUCAAAGGUGAAAUGGCCCGGCUCAACCAGGUCAUUGCCUUUGAAACUGCGGGGCUCGAGUACGGAAGAGGAAAGCGGAAUUCCCAGUGUAGCGGUGAAAUGCGUAGAUAUUGGGAGGAACACCGGUGGCGAAGGCGGCUUUCUGGUCCGAAACUGACGCUGAGAUGCGAAAGCCAGGGGAGCAAACGGGAUUAGAUACCCCGGUAGUCCUGGCCCGUAAACGAUGAGUACUAGGUGUUAGAGGUAUCCACUCCUCUAGUGCCGCAGCUAACGCAUUAAGUACUCCACCUGGGGACUACGACCGCAAGGUUGAAACUCAAAGAAAUUGACGGGGGCCCGCACAAGCAGUGGAACAUGUGGUUCAAUUCGACGCAACGCGAAGAACCUUACCUGGGUUUGACAUCCUCUGACCGCCUAUGAAAGUAGGU